GAUGAACGGCUGGCGGCGUGCUUGAUACAUGCAAGUCGAACGGAGAGUGUAGCAAUAUACUUUAGUUGGCGAACGGGUGAGUAACGCGUUGGUGACCUGCCCCGAAGCGAGGGAUAACAGUUCGAAAGAACUGCUAAUACCUCAUGUGAUCACCGGUUUUAGAAUCUGGUGAUUAAAGGUGAAAAUCACUUCGGGAGGGGCCUGCGUCCCAUCAGCUAGUUGGUAAGGUAAUGGCUUACCAAGGCGAUGACGGGUAGGGGACCUGAGAGGGUGGCCCCCCACAAUGGAACUGAAACACGGUCCAUACACCUACGGGUGGCAGCAGUAGGGAAUAUUGCAAAUGGGCGAAAGCCUGAUGUAGCAACGCCGCGUGUGCGAUGAAGGUCUUCGGAUUGUAAAGCACUUUUUGGAGGGAUGAGGAAGGACAGUACCUCCAGAAUAAGCCUCGGCUAACUACGUG
This 460-nucleotide ribosomal RNA is filed under the name uncultured bacterium. RNAcentral's name for it is "bacterial SSU rRNA". It matches the Rfam family "Bacterial small subunit ribosomal RNA", at positions 35 to 507 of the family's 1533-position model. The record is from RNAcentral.